RNAcentral lists this ribosomal RNA (407 nucleotides) under uncultured bacterium. RNAcentral's name for it is "partial 16S ribosomal RNA". It matches the Rfam family "Bacterial small subunit ribosomal RNA", at positions 30 to 526 of the family's 1533-position model. The record is from RNAcentral.
AUUGAACGCUAGCGGGAUGCUUUACACAUGCAAGUCGAACGGAGUGGCGGACGGGUGAGUAAUAUAUCGGAACGUGCCCAGUAGCGGGGGAUAACUACUCGAAAGAGUGGCUAAUACCGCAUUCUAUCGGAGCGGCCGCUAUCGGAUUAUCUAGUUGGUGGGGUAAAGGCUCACCAAGGCCACGAGCCGUAGCUGGUCUGAGAGGACGAUCAGCCAAACGGGGACUGAGACACGGCCCAGACUCCUAGGGGAGGCAGCAGUGGGAAAUUGUGGACAAUGGGGGAGACCCUGAUCCAGCCAUCCCGCGUGUAUGAAGAAGGCCUUCGGGUUGUAAAGUAGUUUUGGCAGAGAAGCGGUAUCUGCAGAAUAAGCAACGGCUAAGUACGUGCCAGCAGCCGCGGUAAUUC